Setaria italica (foxtail millet) is the source of this 961-nucleotide long non-coding RNA. RefSeq lists it as uncharacterized. The transcript has 2 exons. NCBI's taxonomy places the organism in Eukaryota, Viridiplantae, Streptophyta, Magnoliopsida, Poales, Poaceae. The record is from RefSeq and is a predicted model, not a curated record.
GGCCCCGUGUUCCCCUUCGUCGGCCGGCCUCCGCCCCCAGCGCUCCCCGCCGGUUGCUCCGCAGGCGCAAGGCCCGAGGGGCGACGGCGCCGCGUGGCCUCACGGCGAGCCGUGCCUCCGUUUCCAGCUCGUGCGCUGCGGCUCCAUCGAUUUGCCGCCGCCACCGUCAACCUCACACGCGGCGACCUCAGCACCGGCCUCCGCAAGGAUAUUUUCAUCUAGGUUGCCUGCUGGACUGACACCUCUCCUCGCUGCUCCUCGGCCAAGCAAGCAAAGCAGCCACAAGCCGGCAACCAAGGCAAGGACCUGAGCAUUGCCAGGUAAUUUUGAAGAUCGCCUGAAUUUCUUCAGUGUGACCAUGGGGGAACUACUAGUGGAGGAACAGCCGCUGGCUCCGGCGUUGUUGCAGCUGGAGGGAAACCCAGGUGCCGAGUGGCGCAACCACUCCUGGCCGUGCAACCACGAGGUGGUAGUCCCGGAUGGCUACACCUCAGCCAAGGAUGAGGCCAUGCACGGGAUCCUCGAGAACCCUGUGUUCCAUGGGAAAAUGGCCUACAAGUACCCCUUCCAGCUCGACCCCUUCCAGAGCGUCUCCAUCACGUGCCUAGAGAGGAACGAGUCCAUGCUGGUGUCGGCACACACAUCGGAGGGGAAGAGGGCCAUUACCGAAUACGCCAUUGCCAUGUCUUUGAGGGAGACUAAGAAUAUCAUCUACGCAUCCCCUUUCUAAGCACUCAGCGACCAGAUGUACAAGGAGCUCAGCAUGGUGUUCGACAGUGUUGGACUGAUGACCGACGAUGUCACACUCCCUCCUGAGGCUAGAUGCCUGGUCAUGAUGACGGAGAUCCUCAGGGCGAGGCUCUGCAGUGGUUAGUGGUGUUUGAUGUUGGGUGGGUUGUGUUUGAUGGGAUACAUUGCUUGGACCAUCCUGAGAGUGGAAUUGUGUUGGAGCAGAGUAUAA